RNAcentral lists this ribosomal RNA (772 nucleotides) under uncultured Actinomycetes bacterium. Its description in RNAcentral is "bacterial SSU rRNA". It matches the Rfam family "Bacterial small subunit ribosomal RNA", at positions 1 to 787 of the family's 1533-position model. The record is from RNAcentral. Lineage: Bacteria; Bacillati; Actinomycetota; Actinomycetes.
UAGAGUUUGAUCCUGGCUCAGGACGAACGCUGGCGGUGCGCCUUAUGCAUGCAAGUCGAGCGAAGCUUUUCAGUAGUUUACUACAGAAAAUGACUGAGCGGCGAACGGGUGAGUAACGCGUGAGCAAUCUACCUUAGUUACAGGGAUAGCCCGAGGAAACUCGGAUUAAUACCUGAUAUUCUUUAUAUUUCGCAUGAAAUUAAAAGGAAAGGUCAGCCGAACUAAGAUGAGCUCGCGUUCUAUCAGCUAGUUGGUGAGGUAAAAGCUCACCAAGGCUACGACGGAUAGCUGGUCUGAGAGGACGAUCAGCCACACUGGGACUGAGACACGGCCCAGACUCCUACGGGAGGCUGCAGCAGGGAAUAUUGCGCAAUGAGCGAAAGCUUGACGCAGCGACACCGCGUGUGGGAUGACGGAUCUAGGUUUGUAAACCACUUUCAGGAGGGAAGAAAAUGACGGUACCUCCACAAGAAGCCCCGGCCAACUACGUGCCAGCAGCCGCGGUAAUACGUAGGGGGCGAGCGUUGUCCGGAUUUAUUGGGCGUAAAGAGCUCGUAGGCGGUUCAACAAGUCGGUCGUGAAAGUUCAGGGCUCAACCCUGAAAUGUCGAUCGAUACUGUUGUGACUAGGAUACGGUAGAGGUGAGUGGAAUUCCGAGUGUAGCGGUGAAAUGCGUAGAUAUUCGGAGGAACACCAAUUGCGAAGGCAGCUCACUGGGCCGCUAUCGACGCUGAGGAGCGAAAGCUAGGGGAGCAAACAGGAUUAGAUACCC